Molecule: unclassified non-coding RNA, 213 nt
Filed under: plant metagenome
Description: partial contains small subunit ribosomal RNA, internal transcribed spacer 1, and 5.8S ribosomal RNA
Source: RNAcentral
UUUCCGUAGGUGAACCUGCGGAAGGAUCAUUCAUAAUAAGUGUUUUAUAGCACUUUUUUAAAUCCAUAUCCACCUUGUGUGCAAUGUCAGGGUUGAUUUUUCUCUCGAGAGGAUCAACCCCAAACAUCAACUAUAUCUCAACUCUUUGUCUGAAAAAUAUUAUGAAUAAAACAAUUCAAAAUACAACUUUCAACAACGGAUCUCUUGGCUCUC